This 354-nucleotide ribosomal RNA is filed under the name uncultured bacterium. RNAcentral describes it as "partial 16S ribosomal RNA". It matches the Rfam family "Bacterial small subunit ribosomal RNA", at positions 338 to 684 of the family's 1533-position model. The record is from RNAcentral.
CCUACGGGCGGCAGCAGUGGGGAAUAUUGCGCAAUGGGCGAAAGCCUGACGCAGCGACGCCGCGUGAGGGAUGAAGGUCUUCGGAUCGUAAACCUCUGUCAGCAGGGAAGAACGGUCACUGUGUUAAUCAGCAGUGAAUUUACGGUACCUGCAAAGGAAGCACCGGCUAACUCCGUGCCAGCAGCCGCGGUAAUACGGAGGGUGCGUGCGUUAAUCGGAAUUACUGGGCGUAAAGCGCUCGUAGGCGGUAUGGCGAGUCAAGGGUGAAAUCCCCGCGCUCAACGUGGGAAUUGCAUUUGAAACUGGCAAACUGGAGGGUGGGAGAGGAUAGUGGAAUGCCAGGUGUAGGAGUGA